GGCUGGGCUGGGCUGGGCUGGGCAAGGCAGGAGAGUGAUGCUGGGCCAGAUCUUUGGCCCUUCUGUUCUUUUGUGCUUCUU
This 81-nucleotide microRNA precursor is filed under the name Procavia capensis (Cape rock hyrax). RNAcentral describes it as "miRNA (ENSPCAG00000019667.1)". The record is from RNAcentral. Lineage: Eukaryota; Metazoa; Chordata; Mammalia; Hyracoidea; Procaviidae.